This 691-nucleotide unclassified non-coding RNA is filed under the name Mesorhizobium sp. RNAcentral's name for it is "partial 16S-23S ribosomal RNA intergenic spacer". The stretch from base 571 to 691 matches the Rfam family "Bacterial large subunit ribosomal RNA", at positions 1 to 120 of the family's 2925-position model. Lineage: Bacteria; Pseudomonadati; Pseudomonadota; Alphaproteobacteria; Hyphomicrobiales; Phyllobacteriaceae. The record is from RNAcentral.
GUCGGANGUUCAGUCCUCCCAGGCCCACCACUUCCUUUAACACGAAGGUUAUCAGGGGCCGUAGCUCAGCUGGGAGAGCGCCUGCUUUGCAAGCAGGAUGUCGUCGGUUCGAUCCCGUCCGGCUCCACCAACACGCGAUCUCGAAGAGAUCGUCGCUUCAGCCGCCACGUUGCGGUUUGGCAAGCGCGCGAUCCGCAGGAUCGUCGCGUCGAGGUGUUGAGCAGAGAUGGUGAGAAAAAAGUCAUUCGAAAAAGAGUUUGCGUCGAGCCUAGUGCUCCGCGCCUGUUCUGUUUGACAUCGUAAAGAGAAGAUUUGUUCGAACUUCAUGGCUGCAAAGCUGUGAUUUGUCGCAAGGGACGCUCAAUCCCUUGCCUAUGAUGGGUUUGCCUAACCGCGCCCUCGAACGGAUCUCGAGAAGCUGGUCUUUUUGUGCCAAUUCCAUUCGGUAAUGCCCCGCACAGGGUGUUGCUGGAGCGACGAUCCUUCGGAUCGCGCCUAGCUAAUCUCGCAAGAGAGAGGCUGAAGCGACGAUCUCUUCGAGAUCGCGCGAUGGGUAUUGGCAAUGAGAACGAUCAAGUGUCUUAAGGGCAAUUGGUGGAUGCCUUGGCAUGCACAGGCGAUGAAGGACGUGAUACGCUGCGAUAAGCUACGGGGAGGUGCGAAUACCCUUUGAUCCGUAGAUCUCCGAAGG